Molecule: long non-coding RNA, 234 nt
Filed under: Manacus vitellinus (golden-collared manakin)
Lineage: Eukaryota; Metazoa; Chordata; Aves; Passeriformes; Pipridae
Description: lncRNA (ENSMVIG00005004041.1)
Source: RNAcentral
AUGUUAUUUUAAAAUGUAAAAAGCAUCUUUAAAAGCAAAUUAAAAAAUCUAUUUUUAUUAUGGAUGUGAACUUUUCUUAUCUCCUUUUCUGAAACUUAUGGGGAGCUCUGGAUUGCACUGCCAACUCAUCGUGGGAACUUCUGGUAGGAGAGGAGCUUCUCAAGGAGUAAUCUUCUGUAAAUCUGCAAAAACAGCAAAUAGGAACUAGCAUCCAGCUCCUGGGUGACUCAGUGC